UCAUCUACAUAGAGCCAGUCUUGCUUCUACCCCAAGAUAUGCACAGGUAGGAGAGGAUUGGACGAUGAUCAGAAGCUUCAAACUUGAGGUAUUGGCAACAGCAAGAAGGGAAGAGCUCUGUCCAUUCAGGAUUGCUGAGGGAUCUGUCAAAGCGGCAUCGCACUAGGUGAUCUCCUCUUUUACCUCUCCAUGAGAAGAGAUUACCAGAGUGUUUAAGAUCAAACAGAUCAUUCUCUGAGAGGAAGGUUCGAAAAGCUCCAAAAAAGAAGGUGAUGUCAGGAGACUUCUUCUUGCGAAUCUCCUUUAAACAAUGGUUUUGUUGAUAUGCAUUAAAUGCAUUACAUCAUUG
This is a long non-coding RNA of Brassica oleracea var. oleracea, 349 nucleotides long. RefSeq lists it as uncharacterized. The record is from RefSeq and is a predicted model, not a curated record. NCBI's taxonomy places the organism in Eukaryota, Viridiplantae, Streptophyta, Magnoliopsida, Brassicales, Brassicaceae. The transcript has 3 exons.